Molecule: transfer RNA, 74 nt
Filed under: Candidatus Naiadarchaeum limnaeum
Lineage: Archaea; Nanobdellati; Candidatus Undinarchaeota; Candidatus Undinarchaeia; Candidatus Naiadarchaeales; Candidatus Naiadarchaeaceae
Description: tRNA-Pro
Rfam family: tRNA
About the family: Transfer RNA (tRNA) molecules are approximately 80 nucleotides in length. Their secondary structure includes four short double-helical elements and three loops (D, anti-codon, and T loops).
Source: RNAcentral
GGGGCCGUGGUCUAACCUGGUAUGAUGCUACCUUGGGGUGGUAGUGGUUCCCAGUUCAAAUCUGGGCGGCCCCA